This is a non-coding RNA of Pangasianodon gigas (Mekong giant catfish), 88 nucleotides long. The record is from the annotation of a GenBank genome assembly. NCBI's taxonomy places the organism in Eukaryota, Metazoa, Chordata, Actinopteri, Siluriformes, Pangasiidae.
UCUGCUGUGUCUGUGAGGGCUUUAGAGUGGUCUGUUAAGUCACUGAGGGCUUUAGAGUGGACUGUUGUGUCUGUGAGGGCUUUAGAGU